RNAcentral lists this ribosomal RNA (163 nucleotides) under Lordhowea insularis. Its description in RNAcentral is "5.8S ribosomal RNA". It matches the Rfam family "5.8S ribosomal RNA". From Rfam's summary of the family: 5.8S ribosomal RNA (5.8S rRNA) is a component of the large subunit of the eukaryotic ribosome. It is transcribed by RNA polymerase I as part of the 45S precursor that also contains 18S and 28S rRNA. The record is from RNAcentral. Lineage: Eukaryota; Viridiplantae; Streptophyta; Magnoliopsida; Asterales; Asteraceae.
CAACGACUCUCGGCAACGGAUAUCUCGGCUCACGCAUCGAUGAAGAACGUAGCAAAAUGUGAUACUUGGUGUGAAUUGCAGAAUCCCGUGAACCAUCGAGUUUUUGAACGCAAGUUGCGCCCGAAGCCUUUUGGUCGAGGGCACGUCUGCCUGGGUGUCACAC